UACGGGGGAUGCAAGCGUUAUCCGGAAUUAUUGGGCGUAAAGCGUUCGUAGGUGGUUUUGUAAGUCUUUUGUUAAAGCGUGAGGCUUAACCUCAUAACGGCAGGAGAAACUACGAGACUUGAGUAUGGUAGGGGUAACAGGAAUUCCUAGUGUAGCGGUGAAAUGCGUAGAUAUUAGGAAGAACACCAGCGGCGAAAGCGUGUUACUGGGCCAAGACUGACACUGAGGGACGAAAGCUAGGGGAGCGAAAGGG
This 253-nucleotide ribosomal RNA is filed under the name uncultured bacterium. RNAcentral describes it as "partial 16S ribosomal RNA". It matches the Rfam family "Bacterial small subunit ribosomal RNA", at positions 524 to 776 of the family's 1533-position model. The record is from RNAcentral.